CCAAUAGCGUAUAUUAAAGUUGUUGCAGUUAAAAAGCUCGUAGUUGAAUUUCGGGAUCAAUAUGUUGGUCGUGCCUUGGUACGUACUAGCUUAUUGGUUUCUCCUUUCUGACGAACCAUGAUGUCAUUAAUUUGGUGUCGUGAGGAAUCAGGACUGUUACUUUGAAAAAAUUAGAGUGUUUAAAGCAGGCUCACGCUUGAAUACAUUAGCAUGGAAUAAUGAAAUAGGACGUUUGAUUCUAUUUUGUUGGUUUCUAGGAUCGAUGUAAUGAUUAAUAGGGAUAGUUGGGGGCAUUAGUAUUCAAUUGUCAGAGGUGAAAUUCUUGGAUUUAUUGAAGACUAACUACUGCGAAAGCAUUUGCCAAGGAUGUUUUCAUUAAUCAAGAACGAAAGUUAGGGGAUCGAAGACGAUCAGAUACCGUCGUAGUCUUAACCAUAAACUAUGCCGACUAGGGAUCGGAUGAUGUUAAUUUUUUAAUGACUCAUUCGGCGCCUUACG
This 498-nucleotide ribosomal RNA is filed under the name uncultured Glomeromycotina. Its description in RNAcentral is "partial small subunit ribosomal RNA". It matches the Rfam family "Eukaryotic small subunit ribosomal RNA", at positions 591 to 1092 of the family's 1831-position model. Lineage: Eukaryota; Fungi; Glomeromycota. The record is from RNAcentral.